CUCACACCCGGCUCAAGAUGGCGGCGUCGGGGGACUCCAACUCCUGGGAGGCGGACGCAUUCUCCAUGGAAGACCCAGUGCGGAAGGUUGGGGGUGGCGGCACUGCCGGCCGGGACUGCCAAGAAGGUGAGGAAGAAGACAAGGACGUCAAGAAUAACUGAGAUGACGAUGAUGAUGAAAAAAAAGAGGAAGCAGAAGUAAAACCAGAGAUAAAAAUUUCAGAAAAGAAAAAAACAGCAGAGAAGAUAAAAGAGAAAGAACGGCAAGAGAAGAAAAGGCAAGAAGAAAUUAAAAAGAAGUUAGAAGAACCUGAAGAGCCUAAAGUGCUAACACCAGAAGAACAAUUAGCAGAUAAACUGUGGCUAAAGAAAUUACAGGAAGAGUCAGACCUUGAAUUAGCAAAGGAAACUUUUGGUAUUAAUAAUACAAUUUUUGGAAUAGAUGCUAUAAACCCAUCUUCAAGAGAUGACUUUACAGAGUUUGGAAAGUUACUAAAAGAUAAAAUUACACAAUAUGAAAAGUCACUAUAUUAUGCCAGCUUUUUGGAAGUCUUAGUUUGAAAUGUGUGUAUUUCGUUGGAAAUUGAUGACUUGAAAAAGAUUACCAAUUCACUGACUGUGCUUUGCAGUGAAAAACAGAAGCAAGAAAAGCAAAGCAAAGCCAAAACGAAGAAAAGUGUGGUUCCUGGAGGGGGAUUAAAAGCCACCAUGAAAGAUGAUCUGGCGGAUUAUGGUGGUUAUGAUGGAGGAUAUGUACAAGACUAUGAAGACUUCAUGUGACAUUUUAUCUUUUCCUGGUGUCAUCUUUAUGUUGCCCACAAUCCCUUGAACAUGUAACACAACUUACUUUCCUUUCAGUUCUGCCAAAUGCUACCAUCAGAA
Cebus imitator (Panamanian white-faced capuchin) is the source of this 881-nucleotide RNA transcript. It is a transcript of the gene named eukaryotic translation initiation factor 3 subunit J-like, with no coding region annotated. The record is from RefSeq and is a predicted model, not a curated record. Lineage: Eukaryota; Metazoa; Chordata; Mammalia; Primates; Cebidae. The transcript has a single exon.